Molecule: transfer RNA, 71 nt
Filed under: Legionellales bacterium
Lineage: Bacteria; Pseudomonadati; Pseudomonadota; Gammaproteobacteria; Legionellales
Description: tRNA-Cys
Rfam family: tRNA
About the family: Transfer RNA (tRNA) molecules are approximately 80 nucleotides in length. Their secondary structure includes four short double-helical elements and three loops (D, anti-codon, and T loops). Further hydrogen bonds mediate the characteristic L-shaped molecular structure. tRNAs have two regions of fundamental functional importance: the anti-codon, which is responsible for specific mRNA codon recognition, and the 3' end, to which the tRNAs corresponding amino acid is attached (by aminoacyl-tRNA synthetases). tRNAs cope with the degeneracy of the genetic code in two manners: having more than one tRNA (with a specific anti-codon) for a particular amino acid; and 'wobble' base-pairing, i.e. permitting non-standard base-pairing at the 3rd anti-codon position.
Source: RNAcentral
GGCUAGGUGGCAGAGUGGUCAUGCAGCGGCCUGCAAAGCCGUUUACGCUGGUUCGAUUCCGGUCCUAGCCU